Molecule: unclassified non-coding RNA, 329 nt
Filed under: soil metagenome
Description: partial contains 5.8S ribosomal RNA, internal transcribed spacer 2, and large subunit ribosomal RNA
Rfam family: 5.8S ribosomal RNA (bases 1-120)
Source: RNAcentral
GAUGAAGAACGUAGCGAACUGCGAUAAGUAAUGUGAAUUGCAGAAUUCAGUGAAUCAUCGAGUCUUUGAACGCACAUUGCGCCCCCUGGUAUUCCGGGGGGCAUGCCUGUCCGAGCGUCAUUACAACCCUCAAGCUCAGCUUGGUGUUGGGCCCCGCCGCCCCGGCGGGCCCUAAAGUCAGUGGCGGUGCCGUCCGGCUCCGAGCGUAGUAAUUCUUCUCGCUCUGGAGGUCCGGUCGUGUGCUCGCCAGCAACCCCCAAUUUUUUUCAGGUUGACCUCGGAUCAGGUAGGGAUACCCGCUGAACUUAAGCAUAUCAAUAAGCGGAGGA